ACACAAAUGUUAUCGUUGACCAGG
RNAcentral lists this non-coding RNA (24 nucleotides) under Arabidopsis thaliana (thale cress). The record is from RNAcentral. Lineage: Eukaryota; Viridiplantae; Streptophyta; Magnoliopsida; Brassicales; Brassicaceae.